This is an RNA transcript of Asparagus officinalis (garden asparagus), 885 nucleotides long. It is a transcript of the gene named extra-large guanine nucleotide-binding protein 2-like, with no coding region annotated. The record is from RefSeq and is a predicted model, not a curated record. The transcript is spliced from 4 exons. NCBI's taxonomy places the organism in Eukaryota, Viridiplantae, Streptophyta, Magnoliopsida, Asparagales, Asparagaceae.
UGUAAUAUCACAAAUUGCACAUAUCAUUCUUGAACGAAAUUCAUACAUAAAUAGAUUAUGUACUCGUUCCUUGCAGUUUCUCAAUUAAUGCAAAAAGACAUGCCUUUGUCUUUUGGUUUGACAUAAAGAUGUGCAUUUUCAGAUUUUAAUCUUCAAUUUUCCUUUGUUUACAAUAUUCCAUUCAAUAUAUCAUCCGAGACCACGUACGAUGGCUUCAUAAUUUAUCUCGAUGGAUAUUUCUUUUCCUUUGAUUUUCUACGAUGUUGGCACCUUUAUGAGCAUACUCUUGGUCAACGAUGCCCAUCAGAGAUUUUCAUGUUGGUAGUUUUAUUUGAAUUUGGGUUCUUGUGUAGUUAACUUAAUUUUUGAAUAUUUAUUUCAUAUGUCUGAUGCAGGCAUCUUCAUCCACAUCAAAGUUGCAGAAGACUGUUUUUCCUGAACAUGGCAUACAAAUUUUGGGGACAUUACAUUCUGGGUACGACAAGGUGUCGGGAUUUUGGGGAAAGGAAGCGCAUAAACCUGACAAGAUAAUUACUGUAAACCUCAAUGUGGGAGGUUGUCUGAUGCAAAACGCAAGCAAUGGGAAUACUGGUGUCAUGAUAAAUAAUCGUGAGAUAACAAAAGUUGAGCUGCAGAUGCAAUCUAAACAUAAUGUAUUUACAUUUACCGAUGCCAGCUCCUGCAAUCCUGAUAGAUGUGGUUGUAUCCCAGUGGGCAGGAGUCAAAUGUGCUGGAAGUCCUCACUUCUGGGUGGAUGCUGAUGGAUCAUAACGGGAGGAGGGACAGAAAAAUGUAAAGGGGAAGUUAUGGGACAAGGCUAGAACCAAGCUUCUAUGCUCUUUUCUGUCACUGCCAGUUCCUUGUAAGGGUGAAAAUCCCUCCGGU